Molecule: ribosomal RNA, 253 nt
Filed under: uncultured bacterium
Lineage: Bacteria
Description: partial 16S ribosomal RNA
Rfam family: Bacterial small subunit ribosomal RNA
Source: RNAcentral
UACGUAGGGGGCUAGCGUUGUCCGGAAUCCUUGGGCGUAAAGCGCGUGUAGGCGGCCCGGUAAGUCCGCUGUGAAAGUCGAGGGCUCAACCCUCGAAUGCCGGUGGAUACUGUCGGGCUAGAGUACGGAAGAGGCGAGUGGAAUUCCUGGUGUAGCGGUGAAAUGCGCAGAUAUCAGGAGGAACACCCAUUGCGAAGGCAGCUCGCUGGGACGUUACUGACGCUGAGACGCGAAAGCGUGGGGAGCAAACAGG